Non-coding RNA from Pimephales promelas (fathead minnow), 521 nucleotides. The record is from RefSeq and is a predicted model, not a curated record. NCBI's taxonomy places the organism in Eukaryota, Metazoa, Chordata, Actinopteri, Cypriniformes, Leuciscidae.
GCAAGGAAGAGGAAGAAGAGGAGGAGGAGGAGGGGGACAAAGGACAAUAUUGCUUGUGAUGUCGACGAAGUGCUUUUGCCUGACCCAGGCCAAAGACAAGAAGCACAUUGAUCACGUUUACUCCUUUCAUUUGUGUCCCUUUGAGUAUCGUAUACUGUAGUACAGUGCACUGCUGUAGACUGUACAAUGAAAAAAAUAUGAAAUUUGUUUUGAGAUUUGUUUUGACAUAUAGUUCUCCCUGAGAACUAUAUGUUUUGAACAAUGUUUUUUAAUUGUUUUUUUGGUGUAUUGUUUAUUGACUGCUUGAUGGUGUAUAGCAUUUUGAUCACUUUGUUUAUGUUUUGAGAGCAGUGUUUGAAUUUGAACACAGGUAAAACUGUUUUGAGGCGAAAGUUUCAUUUUGCAAGAGGAGUCAGAGGUUUUGUAAAUAGUGCUUGAAGAUGAGGUUUUGUGUUUAAUGUUUUCAGAAAAUGGAGCAAGGUUUCAGAAAUUGUGUUUUAGCAAUUGAGAAAAACUGUAAU